AAUCCAUAGGUUAAUGAGGCGAACCGGGGGAACUGAAACAUCUAAGUACCCCGAGGAAAAGAAAUCAACCGAGAUUCCCCCAGUAGCGGCGAGCGAACGGGGAGGAGCCCAGAGCCUGAAUCAGCAUGUGUGUUAGUGGAAGCGUCUGGAAAGGCGCGCGAUACAGGGUGACAGCCCCGUACACAAAAGCGCAUGUGCUGUGAGCUCGAUGAGUAGGGCGGGACACGUGGUAUCCUGUCUGAAUAUGGGGGGACCAUCCUCCAAGGCUAAAUACUCCUGACUGACCGAUAGUGAACCAGUACCGUGAGGGAAAGGCGAAAAGAACCCCGGCGAGGGGAGUGAAAAAGAACCUGAAACCGUGUACGUACAAGCAGUGGGAGCACCCUUUGGGGUGUGACUGCGUACCUUUUGUAUAAUGGGUCAGCGACUUAUAUUCUGUAGCAAGGUUAACCGUAUAGGGGAGCCGGAGGGAAACCGAGUCUUAACCGGGCGUUAAGUUGCAGGGUAUAGACCCGAAACCCGGUGAUCUAGCCAUGGGCAGGUUGAAGGUUGGGUAACACUAACUGGAGGACCGAACCGACUAAUGUUGAAAAAUUAGCGGAUGACCUGUGGCUGGGGGUGAAAGGCCAAUCAAACCGGGAGAUAGCUGGUUCUCCCCGAAAGCUAUUUAGGUAGCGCCUCGUGAAUUCAUCUCCGGGGGUAGAGCACUGUUUCGGCUAGGGGGCCAUCCCGGCUUACCAACCCGAUGCAAACUGCGAAUACCGGAGAAUGUUAUCACGGGAGACACACGGCGGGUGCUAACGUCCGUCGUGAAGAGGGAAACAACCCAGACCGCCAGCUAAGGUCCCAAAGUCAUGGUUAAGUGGGAAACGAUGUGGGAAGGCCCAGACAGCCAGGAUGUUGGCUUAGAAGCAGCCAUCAUUUAAAGAAAGCGUAAUAGCUCACUGGUCGAGUCGGCCUGCGCGGAAGAUGUAACGGGGCUAAACCAUGCACCGAAGCUGCGGCAGCGACGCUGAUG
Molecule: ribosomal RNA, 1018 nt
Filed under: Salmonella enterica
Lineage: Bacteria; Pseudomonadati; Pseudomonadota; Gammaproteobacteria; Enterobacterales; Enterobacteriaceae
Also listed under: 1 other name
Description: partial 23S ribosomal RNA
Rfam family: Bacterial large subunit ribosomal RNA
Source: RNAcentral